GAAGUCAUCCUAUCAAUCACGACCUCCCCUCCAUUUUUGUACAUUUCAUACGGUAUCUCAUCUAGCCCUACUGCCUUCCCAAUUUUCUGUCCUCUCACACAUUUCUCCACCUCUCAGGUGAUUCUCUCAUUCAUUUCAUCCGCAUAUUCUUCCUUUCCAGUGUCACACAUCUCUCACAUGAACUACUUCACCAUCACCUCCAGUCUCUUCCCAAAACUCUUUAAUCAUCAUUCUCACAUCUUCUUUGUCUGUCAUCAAUGGCCCAUUCACAUUCUUACCGCUCUUUUCUGUCUUACUUCUAACUUCUCUAUUUAAUUUUCAUUCCUCACAUUCACAUCCAUACCAACUGUUUACAGAGGCAAUUUUGCUUUAAGAUCUAGAUCAAGACCGGGCCCGCGCUCGCCGCUUGAUUGGUGUGUCUGGGUUGACUCUUUGCCAUGGCUCUGCCAGGCAUUCCUUGCAGACAGAAACGGAGGAUGUCCCAUGAGGAUGAUGGAAAUGCAUCUAAGAAACAAAAGGUAAACAUUGGAUAUGAAAGCAAAACAUUACUGGAAUUCAGACCUGUCAGUAACUUCUGUGGCCCGGGCAGAUUCCCACUGAAACACAUCCUGAGGAAUGUUCAUGGAGAGGAGGGAGUGAAAAAUAUUCUGAAGGACAUCCUGGCAACAAACACUGGAGCCAAGAACCCUUGUGUUACACCAGAUUACCUUCUUGCCUACUCAGACAUUGGAAAAAUUUUGAAAGAAAUUAUAAAAAACUUUGAAAAACUGAACUUCAAGAAAUUUAAGAAUAUCAUUGAAAAACAAAUAAAGGCAACCAGAUAUGAGAAAUAUAAGAAGAUGAAGUCAGGAGAUCUGCUUGACUUACUGAAGAUGUCACCAUUUUGCAAGGACGGGAAUGAUGUGAAAGAAGAAUUAUUGGUAAACAACAAUUCCUCAGAAACUGAAUAUGGAAACACAUCUAAGGGAACUGUUUUUCAUGUCCUGAAUGUAGCACUAAACUCAAUAGUUCCUCAGUCUACAUGGGGUAACCAAGAUAACUACAGCAGAAUGGAGUUUUUUCUAUGGCAGCUUGUGGACAUGGGACUGCGAGAAACCAUGAGCAUUGGUGUGCUGCUUGAUGGGAUGAAACUGGAGGAUAUGAGAACUGGGCACUUCCAUACCUCGGUCUACACCUCCGCUCCUCCAUACCUGUGAACCACCAAACGAGUUGUGGAAGUCCGAAGUGCAGAAAAAAUGUUAAAAGUGCGGAAGUAACAGAUGGGCAAAGGAACUUCCACUCGAACAAAAAGUCUACAUAGUGAGUAAAUUCUUUGUUUGGAUUGUAGAAAAAAUCAUUAUUGUAACUCUGAAGUCAGUCUUUUACCAAACAGAGAUGUCAAGUGGUGGCUACCAAAUUUUUUUCUUCCCCAAGAAUAAAAUUGACUCACUAAU
RNAcentral lists this unclassified non-coding RNA (1433 nucleotides) under Portunus trituberculatus (swimming crab). Its description in RNAcentral is "telomerase reverse transcriptase-like, transcript variant X11". The record is from RNAcentral. Lineage: Eukaryota; Metazoa; Arthropoda; Malacostraca; Decapoda; Portunidae.